RNAcentral lists this ribosomal RNA (253 nucleotides) under uncultured bacterium. Its description in RNAcentral is "partial 16S ribosomal RNA". It matches the Rfam family "Bacterial small subunit ribosomal RNA", at positions 524 to 776 of the family's 1533-position model. The record is from RNAcentral.
UACGAAGGGGGCUAGCGUUGCUCGGAAUGACUGGGCGUAAAGGGCGCGUAGGCGGCUUGUCGCGUCGGCUGUGAAAACCUGGGGCUCAACCCCGGGCCUGCAGCCGAUACGGGCAAGCUAGAAUUCGGUAGGGGAGACUGGAAUUCCUGGUGUAGCGGUGAAAUGCGCAGAUAUCAGGAAGAACACCCGUGGCGAAGGCGGUUCUCUGGGACGGUACUGACGCUGAGACGCGAAAGCGUGGGGAGCGAACAGG